GCGGAUAUGGUUGAAUGGUAAAAUUUCUCUUUGCCAAGGAGAAGAUGCGGGUAUGGUUGAAUGGUAAAAUUUCUCUUUGCCAAGGAGAAGAUGCGGGUUCGAUCCCCGCUAUCCGC
This 116-nucleotide transfer RNA is filed under the name Allagoptera arenaria. Its description in RNAcentral is "tRNA-Gly". The stretch from base 47 to 116 matches the Rfam family "tRNA". From Rfam's summary of the family: Transfer RNA (tRNA) molecules are approximately 80 nucleotides in length. Their secondary structure includes four short double-helical elements and three loops (D, anti-codon, and T loops). Lineage: Eukaryota; Viridiplantae; Streptophyta; Magnoliopsida; Arecales; Arecaceae. The record is from RNAcentral.